RNAcentral lists this ribosomal RNA (253 nucleotides) under uncultured bacterium. RNAcentral describes it as "partial 16S ribosomal RNA". It matches the Rfam family "Bacterial small subunit ribosomal RNA", at positions 524 to 776 of the family's 1533-position model. The record is from RNAcentral.
UACGAAGGGGGCUAGCGUUGCUCGGAAUCACUGGGCGUAAAGGGUGCGUAGGCGGGUCUUUAAGUCAGGGGUGAAAUCCUGGAGCUCAACUCCAGAACUGCCUUUGAUACUGGCGAUCUUGAGUCCGGGAGAGGUGAGUGGAACUGCGAGUGUAGAGGUGAAAUUCGUAGAUAUUGGGAAGAACACCAGUGGCGAAGGCGGCUCACUGGCCCGUAACUGACGCUGAGGUGCGAAAGCGUGGGGAGCAAACAGG